GUGAACGCUGGCGGUAGGCCUCACACCUGCAAGUCGAACUGGAGCACAGUAAGAGCUUGCUCUUACGGGUGGCGAGUGGCGGACGGGUGAGGAAUACAUCGGAAUCUACUUUUUCGUGGGGGAUAACGUAGGGAAACUUACGCUAAUACCGCAUACGACCUACGGGUGAAAGCAGGGGAUCUUCGGACCUUGCGCGAUUGAAUGAGCCGAUGUCGGAUUAGCUAGUUGGCGGGGUAAAGGCCCACCAAGGCGACGAUCCGUAGCUGGUCUGAGAGGAUGAUAAGCCACACUGGAACUGAGACACGGUCCAGACUCCUACGGGAGGCAGCAGUGGGGAAUAUUGGACAAUGGGCGCAAGCCUGAUCCAGCCAUACCGCGUGGGUGAAGAAGGCCUUCGGGUUGUAAAGCCCUUUUGUUGGGAAAGAAAAGCAGCAGGUUAAUACCCCGCUGUUCUGACGGUACCCAAAGAAUAAGCACCGGCUAACUUCGUG
Molecule: ribosomal RNA, 491 nt
Filed under: uncultured bacterium
Lineage: Bacteria
Description: partial 16S ribosomal RNA
Rfam family: Bacterial small subunit ribosomal RNA
Source: RNAcentral